UGUCAGGUCAUUUGAGAAAAGCCUAGGC
This 28-nucleotide non-coding RNA is filed under the name Mus musculus (house mouse). Lineage: Eukaryota; Metazoa; Chordata; Mammalia; Rodentia; Muridae. The record is from RNAcentral.